UACGUAGGUGGCAAGCGUUGUCCGGAUUUACUGGGCGUAAAGAGCUCGUAGGCGGUGUGUCGCGUCGGCCGUGAAAACCUGCAGCUUAACUGUGGGCGUGCGGUCGAUACGGGCAUCACUGGAGUUCGGCAGGGGAGACUGGAAUUCCUGGUGUAGCGGUGAAAUGCGCAGAUAUCAGGAGGAACACCGGUGGCGAAGGCGGGUCUCUGGGCCGAUACUGACGCUGAGGAGCGAAAGCGUGGGGAGCGAACAGG
Molecule: ribosomal RNA, 254 nt
Filed under: uncultured bacterium
Lineage: Bacteria
Description: partial 16S ribosomal RNA
Rfam family: Bacterial small subunit ribosomal RNA
Source: RNAcentral